RNAcentral lists this ribosomal RNA (253 nucleotides) under uncultured bacterium. RNAcentral describes it as "partial 16S ribosomal RNA". It matches the Rfam family "Bacterial small subunit ribosomal RNA", at positions 524 to 776 of the family's 1533-position model. The record is from RNAcentral.
UACGUAGGGGGCAAGCGUUGUCCGGAUUUAUUGGGCGUAAAGAGCGUGUAGGCGGUUUGGUAGGUCCGCUGUGAAAACUCGAGGCUCAACCUCGAGACGCCGGUGGAAACCAGCAGGCUAGAGGCCGGAAGAGGAGAGUGGAAUUCCUGGUGUAGCGGUGAAAUGCGCAGAUAUCAGGAAGAACACCCGUGGCUAAGGCGGCUCUCUAGUACGGUACUGACGCUGAGACGCGAAAGCGUGGGGAGCGAACAGG